UUGUCAAGCCCAAUUUCUUUCUUCUCCAAUCCAUAAGCCCAUACCGCCCUAAGCUAAAGACCCCUUCAUCUCCACAUUAAAAGAAAAAAAACCUAGAAGACCUAAAAAAAAGGAGAUCAGCCGCAGAAACAAAAAAAAAGACCACCACCCAUGCCGUUCUUCUUCGUUUCAUAAUCUAAGAACACUUCUGUUCUUCUUCAACACCAACGACACGCCCUCCCUGAACUUCUUCUUCUCCAAGCCUAAAACUCCAAUAAGAUCCCCUGAUCUCUCAGGCACAAACCAACAGAAGCAGCCGUGAUUUCAACCCAAGAACACCCCCUAGACCUUUCUUCCCCAUCUUCACAAAAUCAAAAAAAAAAAAAAAAAAAAAAAAAAAGAACCCUAAAAGAUAUCCAGCCCGUCUUCCUCACCAUAACUCCGGUGACCAAGCGUACACAGCAGCCCCCCGUUGCCGUCUCUCACCAGACCCAACCCAGCUCGCCGGAAAAACGCCAACGACCACCCGCCGGAAACCAGCAACAGUGAUACGCAGCAGAAAUCAACCACCUAUUUUUAAAAACAAACCAAUUAGAUCUGAAAACCAAGAAAAGGUUUCUGAAAAUCUCAAUUUCCAAGAGGUUUUUGAGUCGAAAUUUGCUGCUCGAUUGUUGAGGUUUUCCGGACCCGUGCGAUUUCAGUCGAGGUUUUUCGGUCCGAGUUUCCACACUACAGCUGCUGUAAUUGGAAAAUAUGUCCCCUUUGAGGUGGGCGCAUGAUGCUGACUUAAUAUUUGAAGUAAAUUCCCUUGUUCUCCAGGUGGGCGCCUGCAACUUAAACUUAAAUCCCAUUAUCCUGGAGGGUCCAGAAAACUUGAACUUAAAUCCCAUUAUCCAGGAGGCCCCUGAACUUAAGGAAAGCUAAAAAC
Nicotiana tabacum (common tobacco) is the source of this 907-nucleotide non-coding RNA. NCBI's taxonomy places the organism in Eukaryota, Viridiplantae, Streptophyta, Magnoliopsida, Solanales, Solanaceae. The record is from RefSeq and is a predicted model, not a curated record.